This is a long non-coding RNA of Hyaena hyaena (striped hyena), 1225 nucleotides long. RefSeq lists it as uncharacterized. The record is from RefSeq and is a predicted model, not a curated record. NCBI's taxonomy places the organism in Eukaryota, Metazoa, Chordata, Mammalia, Carnivora, Hyaenidae. The transcript has 7 exons.
UUUGAUGUUUACUUGUAUCUUGGACCACAUUAUCUCACCUUGCACAACUUGUCAACCCUUAACCAAACUUUCAAUUCUUCCAGUUUCCUUCAAUAUUUGGCUAUGAACUAAUCUUAGCCUCUAAACAAACCUUCCCAUUUUUAUGCCUCCUCCUUUACUUGGAGUCACUGAGAACUACAGAUUGGCAAGUUUUUACUGGGACUCUAAAAUUGCCUUCCCUGAUCUUUGCCUCCAAGAUCUGAAGAGUCACUGCAAGCUCAAGCCUAAGGACUUUUUAUAAGAUUAGAAAGAUUCAUCAUCCCAGCUGACCAUUCAUAGUCCACAUCUUUCCCUGCAUAAGCUGCUGUUUGGACUACCAAGCAAGUGUGGUGACAUUCCCAGGUCAUUCAUCCUUACUGGAGAACAACCAAUGCUGUGGACACCACCAGCAAUACAACUGACCACUCAUCUUCAAAAGCUUAAUGAGCGUAUUCUUGGAAGUUGUAACAAGAUACAGUUGGUACUGAUCAUCACCAUGGCUUCCGGUCUUAGACCAGAACCUGUUGUGCCUCACUGCUCACUGCUUGUCAAGUCUACAAGGAGGUGCAUGCGUCCAGACCAUGCCUUCCACUGAGGAGGACCACGAUAUCCCUGGGCAGUCAUGCCUCAGGGGCGCACUGAAGCCAUCUACUACUUUUACCCAGGAUAUUUGGUCUAUUGGAAGAAACAUCAGAGGAAAUCUGCUGGCUUUGAUCUCAAUGGAAGGAACUUCAUCAGGUGCUCUCUCAUCAGAUGAUCCCAAUGAUGACAAAACGACUGAAAGAUCAGGAAGAUCUUGCAUACAAGUGUCUAUGGAGAUGACUAACAAUCUCUGAGCAGCGAAGAUCUGGAUCAUUAGCUUUCUCUAAAUUGGUCAGCUUCUUGCCAGAGUGCUGUUUAAUCAAGACUUUCUUCCACCAGCCUGUUGGAAUCCACUAAACCUGUGACUCCCAAGAUGUCUGGACUUCAAGAUUCUAAAACAACUGACCUUCGCUAUACCCUCUCAACAGAUGGUUCAGCUUAUUUUACAGGAACUGCACCAACAAAAGUCCUAGACAGAUCCUGCUAGGUUGAUUCUGGCCUUUUAGUUGUUUAGUUUGGUUUAUUAUAUCCAUUCUUGUUGAACAAAAGGAGGGGUUGACAAUUUCGGACUUUAUCUGAGCUCUGUAUUCCUGGAAAACACUGAUGGUUAAUAAAUCCCCUAUCU